RNAcentral lists this long non-coding RNA (1452 nucleotides) under Homo sapiens (human). RNAcentral describes it as "HSALNT0380236". The record is from RNAcentral. Lineage: Eukaryota; Metazoa; Chordata; Mammalia; Primates; Hominidae.
GGCGGGUGAGGAGAGGCACGGAACCCCAGGUGCCUGCGCACCGCUGCGCUCCCCAGUACCCCCAUCAUCAGCGGAGUGGGAGGGCUGGUCCCUGCUGGGAAAGGAGACGGAGGUUUUCAUGCUUUUUGUUUUGUUUUUCUUCUGUUUUGUAGUUUUUUGUAGAGACGGGGUCUUGGUCUCACCAUUUUGCCCAGCCUGGUCUCGAACUCCUGGGCCCAAGCGCUCCUCCCGCUUUGGCCUCCUAAAGUGCUUAGAGUCCAGGCGUGAGCCACCGCGCUCUGACAGGAGACAGAGGUUUUCAGACUUUCCUGUGUAUCAGAAUCACCUGGCCUGCUUCCUAAGACAAAUGGCUGGGCCUCCCCACAGAGCCUGGGAUUCAGUAGGUCUGGGGUGGGCCAGGAGAAGGAGCCUCCUAACCAGCGCGCAGGGAAAGGCCGCGCAGGGGCUGCGGCGAGGUGGGUCCCGGCGAGGUGGGUCCUGUGCACCUGCCGCGCGCGCACAGCCGCGCCUCGUUCCCUGCUUUCAGGGGCCUUCAAGCUACCCCUCAAGCGAAGAGGCAGUGCCUUCUGAGAAGGGUGUGGGUGCAGGCCAUUGUGAGGUGUCAAUUCUCUAAGUUCUUCAUCUCCCUGCCCGACCCCCGCAGCUGGUUCACACGAAAUCACCUUCCACAAUGCCUCUCCAUGUGACAAAAGCAGGGCUUGUGCCUGGCCCAUCCCCAGUCUCAGAAAAGAGUGUAAAAGACAACCGUACCAAGAGACCCUUCUGAAUAGAACCCCACGGUAGCUGAUGAAACACCUUGCUCCUGCCAAGGCCUCCGCCUUCUGGCCCUGAAUACUGUGCUGUCCCUAUAAGCCCGGGCGUGGAACCGCCGGAAUUCAGCAUUGCUACAGUGCAGCUGCAAGAGUGACCUCACCCCUUCCAACCCACCUCCACUCCCCACAAAUUACUCUCAAAGGACUCACAGAUCCCGAGAGAAGGUCUUACCAGAGCACAGCAAAAAAAGUGUGGAAUUCUAAAAAUACCUUUUGUUCUUUCCUACUUCAUUAGUAGAGAUAUCAUUAGCUAGAAGGAAAAAUCUCUCCAAAAAGCAGGAGCAGUGUAGGUUAAUGGUGCAGAUUCUUUUCGUUGUGAAUGGAAUGUUUUCUCAGGACCAUCGAGAUAUACAAGACCUGCACAUUAAUAUUUGAAAUUGACUAAGAUGUGACAGAUGGUUUGACUUUUCAGUGCAACAUCUAUAAAAGCUAACAUGGGAUGGAUGUGAUGCAGAACUGUACCGCCUUCUAACAGCAAGCAAUGUUCAUCCAUGGAUACAUGAAUUAAUUGGGAAAGAAUUCUCAUCUGUUUCAUUAAGUGAUGCAUUCCCAAAACAAUUUUAAUAAUUUUAAUAAUGAUUUUAAUGCAUUUGUUGUUUUGAUCAGUUUAUAUAUAUAUUAUGUGACAGAGAGGUAUGAC